This 1495-nucleotide long non-coding RNA is filed under the name Gallus gallus (chicken). Lineage: Eukaryota; Metazoa; Chordata; Aves; Galliformes; Phasianidae. The record is from RNAcentral.
GCAGGGAAGCUGACUCUUUGGCUGCUGCUUUUUGUGUGCCCAGCCCCAUUUGCCCAGUCUGCCCGCCUCUGUGAUCCCCCGCAGCACUGGCUGGAAGUCCGCCGCGUGUCAGUGAGGAGCUGCUGCAGAAGGAAGAAGAAGAAGCAGCGUGGGGACCUGGGAGGCAGGAGCAAGCAAGAAGAGGAAGCGGAAGCGUGCAGAUGCGGGGGGGAAGGAGAGAGGCUCCCUGGGCAAAGCACCUGUCCCGUUAGCAGGGGCACAGUCACGUUUGAGUUGAGAGCUGCCGGCGCCUUUGGUGACCAGGCUGGCGUUGUGCUGGCGACCUCCCCGUAAGCGGGGCUCGGGUCUUUGCUGUAGUUGGCCUUUUGCCUUGCUGCUCCUUUGGCUGCCUGGGGAGCGUGGCCCCCUGUAACGGAGGGCGAGAGCCACCUCUCCGCACCUGAGUGGGAAAUGGAGCUCGCCGGACCCCAAGGCCACCCUGUAAGCAGGGUAGUGCCGUUUCCCUGCCCCUCUUCCUCCCCCGGCCCCUCGGCAUCGUUGCCUGAUGGUGGCUUGUCAAUGCGACGGCCCCGUACUCGGGGUGUGUGUCCCAAGCUUCGGAGCCCUCUGUCCCUGAGCAGCCCGCCCGCCCUGUAAUCAGGUGUGGGGAGGCUGCAGCGUUGCAGCCGGCUGCUUUAGCCAUCCAGCUGGUGGGAGUGACCCCUCCCUGUCCCGUCAGAGGGUGCAGGUUGAGGUGCUGUUUGUGUGUGGGGUGACCUCCCCGCUCGGUGGGUCGAGGUAGCUCCCUGGGCUUCCAAAGACGAGACGUUGGUGAUGUUCUGGUGCUGCCGGGCGGGCCAGCCUGUAACUCAGGCGUUGGCGGGAGCCUCGUGCUCCGCGGGGCUUCUUGAAGAGGGUGAGGUGUGGGGGUACCGUCCUGUAGGCAGGGCUGUGUGUGCCCCCCGUGUGUGCUUGGUGAGCUGCGUUCUGAGAGACCCCCUGUACUCAGGUGGGAAUGUGGCCCCGGCCUUUCAGAGGCGCGGGGCCGUGAGAUGCGGGGUGGGGCUUGCGCCCUCCCUGGAAUCGGGGCUGGGAUCCCGACUGCGGCCUUUGGCCGUGCCGCCCCGCUGCCUGGCUGCUGAGAGUUGCUCCUGCCGCUGGGGGGGAAACCGAGCUCUGUGGCUCCAGGGGUGUUGUCCACCCGCCUGUAAUCAGGGUCUGGGUGCGUGAGCGUUUGUGCUCUGCUGGCAGCCUGUGUGGGGUGACCGCCCCGCUAGCGGGGUGUGGGUCGAGGUGCCCCGGACUGGGAGAGAAGGAGCCUCCCUCGGCCGUAGGGAUGGGGGCUGCCCUGUAAGUCAGGGAGCAUCUGUGUCCCGGAGUCCCAGGCCCUUUUCGAUGGCGGCAGUGGCCGGGGGUCCCCUGUAAGCAGGGAAGCUGACUCUUUGGCUGCUGCUUUUUGUGUGCCCAGCCCCAUUUGCCCAGUCUGCCCGCCUCUGUGAUCCCCCGCAGCACUGGC